AAUCAACGCUGGCGGCGUGCCUCAGACAUGCAAGUCGAACGCGAAAGGCUCCUUCGGGGGCCGAGUAGAGUGGCGCACGGGUGAGUAACACGUAGGUAAUUUGCCUUUGGGUGGGGAAUAACUCAGGGAAACUUGAGCUAAUACCGCAUAAUGCAGCGGCUCGACAUCGAGACAGUUGGUAAAGCGGGGGAUCGCAAGACCUCGCGCCUGAAGGGAAGCCUGCGGCAGAUUAGCUAGUUGGUAGGGUAAUGGCCUACCAAGGCGACGAUCUGUAACCGGCCUGAGAGGGCGGUCGGUCACACUGACACUGACAUACGGGUC
RNAcentral lists this ribosomal RNA (321 nucleotides) under uncultured bacterium. Its description in RNAcentral is "bacterial SSU rRNA". It matches the Rfam family "Bacterial small subunit ribosomal RNA", at positions 32 to 332 of the family's 1533-position model. The record is from RNAcentral.